CGGCAGAGAAUGAGUGCUAGUGUUAGGGGGUUUCCGCCCCUUAGUGCUGCAGCUAACGCAUUAAGCACUCCGCCUGGGGAGUACGACCGCAAGGUUGAAACUCAAAGGAAUUGACGGGGACCCGCACAAGCGGUGGAGCAUGUGGUUUAAUUCGAAGCAACGCGAAGAACCUUACCAAAUCUUGACAUCCUUUGACAACUCUAGAGAUAGAGCCUUCCCCUUCGGGGGACAAAGUGACAGGUGGUGCAUGGUUGUCGUCAGCUCGUGUCGUGAGAUGUUGGGUUAAGUCCCGCAACGAGCGCAACCCUUAAGCUUAGUUGCCAUCAUUAAGUUGGGCACUCUAAGUUGACUGCCGGUGACAAACCGGAGGAAGGUGGGGAUGACGUCAAAUCAUCAUGCCCCUUAUGAUUUGGGCUACACACGUGCUACAAUGGACAAUACAAAGGGCAGCGAAACCGCGAGGUCAAGCAAAUCCCAUAAAGUUGUUCUCAGUUCGGAUUGUAGUCUGCAACUCGACUACAUGAAGCUGGAAUCGCUAGUAAUCGUAGAUCAGCAUGCUACGGUGAAUACGUUCCCGGGUCUUGUACACACCGCCCGUCACACCACGAGAGUUUGUAACACCCGAAGCCGGUGGAGUAACCUUUUAGGAGCUAGCCGUCGAAGGUGGGACAAAUGAUUGGGGUGAAGUCGUAACAGGGGAAACCCGGAAAAAAAAUUUUGGGCCCGGGAGAGUACCCCCAGUGCCAUGGUGCCCCCCCGAAUUUGCGGCAGUCCCCCCUGGGGGUUCCUUUCCUACGCCCCCCCCCCCUUAAUCCGCCCCCCUUCGGGCCCAUAACGCUCCCCCCCCCCGUGCCUCGUACGGGCCCCCCGCCACUACCGUCCCGCCCCCCCCCGCCGCUGCGCCAAGGGGGGCGAUUCAACGUAGAGCGUCUAAAAAAAAUCGCCCCGAAAAAGACGGUAGUACACCGCCAACAAGAAUUUUCGGGGAAAAACAGCCUGGGCUAAGUCAUCGGUGAUCCCCCGCGGGCUGGUUUUGGUCGACGAGAGAACU
RNAcentral lists this ribosomal RNA (1051 nucleotides) under Staphylococcus aureus. RNAcentral describes it as "bacterial SSU rRNA". The stretch from base 1 to 719 matches the Rfam family "Bacterial small subunit ribosomal RNA", at positions 800 to 1533 of the family's 1533-position model. Lineage: Bacteria; Bacillati; Bacillota; Bacilli; Caryophanales; Staphylococcaceae. The record is from RNAcentral.